RNAcentral lists this ribosomal RNA (461 nucleotides) under uncultured bacterium. Its description in RNAcentral is "bacterial SSU rRNA". It matches the Rfam family "Bacterial small subunit ribosomal RNA", at positions 28 to 507 of the family's 1533-position model. The record is from RNAcentral.
GAUGAACGCUAGCGGCGUGCCUAACACAUGCAAGUCGAACGUGAGAGGGUACUUGUAUCCUUGAAAGUGGCGGACGGGUGAGUAAGACGUAGGUGACCUGCCUUGAAGUGGGGGAUAACCAUUGGAAACGAUGGCUAAUACCGCAUAAGCUGGUGACGAUGGGAAUCGUUAUCAGGAAAGCUUUAGUGCUUUGAGAGGGGCCCGCGGCCGAUUAGCUAGUUGGUAAGGUAAAGGCUUACCAAGGCGAUUAUCGGUAGCUGGUCUGAGAGGACGAUCAGCCACACGGGAACUGAGACACGGUCCCGACUCCUACGGGGGGCAGCAGUGAGGAAUAUUGGGCAAUGGGCGAAAGCCUGACCCAGCAACGCCGCGUGGAGGAUGAAGGCUUUAGGGUUGUAAACUCCUUUUGUGGGGGAAAAGAAUGGAUGGUACCCCAAGAAUAAGUCACGGCUAACUACGUG